GGACGAACGGCCGGUCAAGCUCACGUCUCGGCUCAAUCUCGAUCUCGUUGACCUAACCCUCUCCCAUCCACCACUCAUCUUUCUCUUCUUCGACAAAAAAAAGGGAAACGACCGAUCUCCACCCGAAAAUUCCGAUUCGAAUCCCCUUUCUCUGCACUGGUUUUUGUCUUCUACCUUCGAUUUCCUUGCGAAGCUUCGUUCAACGGACGAUGAAACAGAGAGAGGGGAAAUCUCUCCUGCUUCUAUUUCCUCUUUUUUUAUUUAUCCUUUUCUUCUUCGCGGCUCCUUUCGCGUAAAUAUUUCACAGUUACGCCAUUUUGCAUUUGUGUUUUUAAAUUUUACCAAACGC
Molecule: unclassified non-coding RNA, 349 nt
Filed under: Hevea brasiliensis (rubber tree)
Lineage: Eukaryota; Viridiplantae; Streptophyta; Magnoliopsida; Malpighiales; Euphorbiaceae
Source: RNAcentral